UGCAGUCGAGCGGAACGAUCCUAGCUUGCUAGGAGGCGUCGAGCGGCGGACGGGUGAGUAAUGCAUAGGAAUCUGCCCGGUAGUGGGGGAUAACUUGAGGAAACUCAAGCUAAUACCGCAUACGCCCUACGGGGGAAAGCAGGGGCUCUUCGGACCUUGCGCUAUCGGAUGAGCUUAUGUCGGAUUAGCUGGUUGGUGAGGUAACGGCUCACCAAGGCGACGAUCCGUAGCUGGUCUGAGAGGAUGAUCAGCCACAUCGGGACUGAGACACGGCCCGAACUCCUACGGGAGGCAGCAGUGGGGAAUAUUGGACAAUGGGGGCAACCCUGAUCCAGCCAUGCCGCGUGUGUGAAGAAGGCCCUCGGGUUGUAAAGCACUUUCAGCGAGGAAGAAUGCUUGUCGGUUAAUACCCGGCAAGGGAGACAUCACUCGCAGAAGAAGCACCGGCUAACUCCGUGCCAGCAGCCGCGGUAAUACGGAGGGUGCGAGCGUUAAUCGGAAUUACUGGGCGUAAAGCGUGCGUAGGCGGCUUGAUAAGCCGGUUGUGAAAGCCCCGGGCUCAACCUGGGAACGGCAUCCGGAACUGUUAGGCUAGAGUGCAGGAGAGGAAGGUAGAAUUCCCGGUGUAGCGGUGAAAUGCGUAGAGAUCGGGAGGAAUACCAGUGGCGAAAGCGGCCUUCUGGACUGACACUGACGCUGAGGUACGAAAGCGUGGGUAGCAAACAGAUUAGAUACCCUGGUAGUCCACGCCGUAAACGAUGUCGACUAGCCGUUGGGGUCCUCGAGACCUUUGUGGCGCAGUUAACGCACUAAGUCGACCGCCCUGGGGAGUACGCCGCAAGGUUAAAACUCAAUGAAUUUGACGGGGCCCGCACAAGCGGUGGAGCAUGGUGGUUUAAUUCGAUGCAACGCGAGAACCUUACCUACUCUU
RNAcentral lists this ribosomal RNA (931 nucleotides) under Halomonas elongata. RNAcentral describes it as "bacterial SSU rRNA". It matches the Rfam family "Bacterial small subunit ribosomal RNA", at positions 56 to 982 of the family's 1533-position model. The record is from RNAcentral. Lineage: Bacteria; Pseudomonadati; Pseudomonadota; Gammaproteobacteria; Oceanospirillales; Halomonadaceae.